UUGGAAUUUGACAGAGCUGCAUUCAUAAUAGCAUCAACAGCAACAGAUGAGGAAAUGCUAAACUGGUACCAUGAACACGUUGUGUGGGGUGAUAAAGACCUAAAAUCGAAACUCUUGAGGAAGGGCAUUUUAACUCGCGUGUAUUCUCCCAUGGUCAUGAUACAGGCUUUAAGAGAAUCUGGUGUAUUCAGCUCUAUUAUUGCAUCUGCUCCAACAACUAUUUCAAAAGACAAGUUUUUAGCAUCAAUUGAUAAAAGCAACUCAUCCAGAGCUGUUGCCUCUGAAUCGCUACCAUCAAGAAAGAUUGGAAGAAGGGAAGAAACAGAGCGCAUCAGGCAGCAGCUAGAAAGGUUUUGGAUUUAGAAGCUAUUGAAUCUCAUGAAGCAGCUGUUCCUCCAUUGUCUCCUCCAGGAGCGAAUGACGACUUCCUUGUGGAAGCGUGAUCCAGAUUUUGGCAUGAUUGCUUCUUCUUCUCAUUCCUGUUCAAAUAGGUGUGACUAUCGGUGUGAUCAUUUUCGUCUAAUUUGCUUUGAAGGGAAGAAUCAGGAGAGAAAAGAAAGAGCAAGCAGGCCUCUUGUUGCAGUAUGUGUUCAGUUCUGUUGGUUCUUCCCGAUCAUGAUCCAAGCGCUUGUGUACAGUCUUUAGGAGAGAUUUAUAGCCUGGUAACUUUAUGUCACGACUCAACCAGAAUACUCAACUUAUUAUUUUCAUGUAUAUAAACCACAGUGUUGACAGCCAAGGGUUGUAACGAUCAUUAGUUCAUUAUGUGGAAAUUCAAGAGAACAUCUGAUGGGAGUCUCUUGAGAGGAUAUUGUGUCAUCAACUUUUUGUAUUUGAGAGGAGGAUGUCUAUUUGAACCAACGUUAUUUUGUUUCUUUAAAGGUGCCAUAUGUGGUGCUCUGAUGAAGGAAGGCCCAAGCCAUUGAAGGCUUGGCUAGAACUUCAUACUGGC
RNAcentral lists this unclassified non-coding RNA (952 nucleotides) under Hevea brasiliensis (rubber tree). Lineage: Eukaryota; Viridiplantae; Streptophyta; Magnoliopsida; Malpighiales; Euphorbiaceae. The record is from RNAcentral.